Molecule: long non-coding RNA, 1742 nt
Filed under: Homo sapiens (human)
Lineage: Eukaryota; Metazoa; Chordata; Mammalia; Primates; Hominidae
Description: HSALNT0385126
Source: RNAcentral
UGGUGGAGCGUUUAGGAGUCUCAACAUGUAAAGGGUGGUUGGAGUUUCAAAGAGCUGAGAAAGAACUUGACGAGGGAUGGCAGAGAGGUACGAAGUUCAGGAAAGUGAUGUCGUGAAGCCAAGGGAGAGAGAUGUGAGAAGAGAAUGGCAACAUGUUGAAAGUUGCACGGAGGUCAAAUAAAAGGGAAGACACCUCCAUACAUUUAGGAAAAAGCUGGAGGCAGAAACGAGACUGUAGUGCGUUGGAGAGUGAAUGGGAGAGAGAUGAACAUAGUGUAUAUGCUGGCCUAAGAAAGGCAAGCAAGAGAUUGGGCAGGACCCAGAGGAGAUGUUGGAUUGUGGGAGGUGUCUGCAUUCCUUCAAAAGCAGACCUUGAAACAGAAUUGAGUGCAAGUGGUUUAUUUUGGAGAUGAUCCCAGGAAACACCAAUAUGGGUGGCGGGUGAAGAAAGGAGACAUCAGUAAAGAAUAUUUCAGCAAGCAAGAUGAAUGUGGGAAUAUGGAGCUUAACUUUAUUGGGUAACCCUGGAAGACAGUAUGGACUGUGUAUUCAAAGUUAAUUCCCCAUUAACUUUGGGGAGCUGGGAUAUAUUUAUCCACCAAUUUUAGUCAUUGGUUGAGCUUCCGUUCCUUGGGGAUUGGGGAAGCAUUAAUUUCCCAGGCACCUUUAGCAGGCCAUGUGCAUGGGGAAAGGAGGCUCUGGCAGCCAGAUAAAGUCCUCACGUAAAAAGACAGGAGAUGGCAGUUGGAAGUUGGAUGAAAGUGAUGAAAAUGUCACAAGGUACCCCAGUGAGCCAAGAGUGUGUAUCAACCAUUGGGUGCUAGACCAGGAAGGAGUCAGAAGAACAAAUCAGUCUGAAGAGUCUGAUUAUUAUUUAAUGGGUGAGUCUAGCUGGAAGUUUUGAAAGGAGGUUAGAGAACAGAGCUGAAAAGUGGCAGCAAGAGUCAAAUUCAAGGAGCAGGCAGGAGGCCAGGGACAAAAAAUAGGAUCAGGAACCAGAGAAAUCAAAUACAGUUUAGGAAGCCGAGUUCAAGAUUGGUUCAAGUUUAUGGUGUAGGUUGAAGGCUGUGGAUAAGGAGAGAAAAUAAGGACGCAUGUUUUUUAGGGGGAUCCAUGUGGGCAAAGAGAUGGACAGCAAGCCCAAAGCCCUGUCCCUACUUGGUUUUCCCUUAUUCCCUGAGCCUCACUCCUGCUGAAAUCCAGGAGUCCAUGGGAUCCAGUUUGAAGGUCACUGAGGAAUUGGAGUGAGUUCAGACUCUGGAGUCAGACUGACCUGGGUUCAGAUCUCUGCUCAAUCUCUUCUAGCUGUGAAUCUUGAGGAAGUUUUUCACCUGCAAGUGUAAUUGAACCUAUAUUGAAGGAUUGUUCUCUGUUCUUGCUCAAAGAAUGGUUUGCAUUACUUUAAGAUGACAAUGAUACACAUUCAUGAAGCAACGUUACGUAGGGCUCUAAGAGUGUGUAAUAGGGGCAUUUUACCCAGUCAGGAGACCAAGGGAGGCUGCCCUGAGGAGGUGACAUUUGAGCUAAGAUGGGCGGAAUGAAAAGGAGACUUAUCUUCUGCUGUGUUACCCUGGUUGACUCCAGUUUGGCUUCUACUCCAUGGAAGAGGUUUUACAUUUCAUCUGGCCCUGUGAAUGUGGACUCCGUUUCUCCCCUCCCUGUGCUGACAUUUCUUCCAUUUUGUCCCCCUGAGUGGUGCAAGACAGGAACUUGGAUGGAGCCAGAGGCCAUUAUCCUUAGCA